ACAGAUGGACGGUGUACUGCCCUACCUUUUUGCGCUGAAUCAGCAACAGCCAGGAGGCGGAGGCGGAGGGGGAGCUAUGAGCAACCCUUUCCUGCGGGCGAUUAUAUUCAGCUCCCUCAUGUAACCAAUCAGCGGCGGGGGAAGCCAUUUUGAAUGUUCUGCGUUACAACUAAGGUUAUAUCAACUCCACAAACGCUGUUUAUAUGGGCAACCUUCACCCUCCCUGUCGUCUCUAGAAACAGCUCCAUACUGUAAGGUGUACAGUGUGUAUGGCUUUGAGUGCUCAUGGUUGAGUGGAUCCUUGUGUUUGGCCACCACUGAACAUUACGAACGACGCCUUAAAAUUUGUAGAGUCCAAAGGAUGACAUGUAAACCAUUGAUUCCGGGAAUUCCAGAAUUUUAUAAAUAUUUCUGAAACGCUGUAGGAGAAAAGAAUAAUUACUGUUUCAAGGUUACAGAGGUGGAAAGAUUAGAUUUGAGAAAUUAAAGGGGGAAAAAAACCCAAUCAUUUCGUGACUUCCUUAUAAGAACUAUUUAAUUAGUGCGUUUUGUAUUUAUAGGUGGUUUUUAUAAAAGCCAUUUCCGUUUUUGAAAACAAGUUUCGUCUUUGUUAAUAUUAUGUUAAACAAAUUCCCUUUGAAUGAAUUAUGUCUGCUCCAGA
Molecule: long non-coding RNA, 661 nt
Organism: Aplysia californica (California sea hare)
Lineage: Eukaryota; Metazoa; Mollusca; Gastropoda; Aplysiida; Aplysiidae
Exons: 2
Source: RefSeq, a predicted model, not a curated record